AGCAUUUGGUAUCUGUGCUCCACUUAAGCCAGCUACCACAGGUUAGAAAGCCUGAGAAACUUCUAACCUUCGAAAGAACCCACGCCUGAGAACGUGGGUUUUUUCGU
This 107-nucleotide non-coding RNA is filed under the name Yersinia pestis. RNAcentral also lists the same sequence under 2 other names. The record is from RNAcentral. Lineage: Bacteria; Pseudomonadati; Pseudomonadota; Gammaproteobacteria; Enterobacterales; Yersiniaceae.